This 2863-nucleotide long non-coding RNA is filed under the name Homo sapiens (human). RNAcentral's name for it is "HSALNT0328951". The record is from RNAcentral. Lineage: Eukaryota; Metazoa; Chordata; Mammalia; Primates; Hominidae.
AAGAAAAAGAAAACCAACAAGGAAGAGGGUAAAUGUUCAAGAAACUCUUCUCCAAAUCCAAAUUCCACUUGGAUUCCACUUCGGGAGGAAAGUCCAUGUGAAGACACAGUGAGAAGGCAAGAAGGCAUCCAUCUGCAAGUCAGGAAAAGAGCCCUCAUCAGAAACCAAAUGUUGUGAGAACUUGAUCUUGGACUUCCCAGCCUCCAGAACUGUCUCACAUGAAGGAAGAUGUUCACCCUGAGGACAAGGCCCCUGCAUGCAUUCUCAGGACGUUCAUGUUUUCUUUACCCAUUCCCUUCCAUUCAAAUAGCUCUUGUCAGCGACCCAUUUUGUGAAUGGAGACAUUUCUGCUUUGAAGUCAUAAUUUAUCCUGCAAGAGCUGCUAAAAGAAGCACUUUUAAACUCAGAUCUGAGCGAAGGCUGGGAAUUGGUUGUUGCAAGUAGAAAAUGAGUCACAGAUGUACAAAGACAUUAGAAGGCUGCCUGCAACAUAGAAGCAAAAUGCUCCAGGAGGCUGACCUGAAUGACAUACAUCAGUGAACUCCUUUGGCCUCUGUCAGACCCACCAAAUCAGAAAAUCUUACACUCCUACAAGAAAUUCAUGAUGUUACAUUUAAGAAAACUUCUUGAAUGUACAUGACAAAGAAUGAACAAGCAUAUUUAUUGCAACAUUGUUUAUAAUAGCAAUAAAGGUAAGCAACUUAAUAGGGGACUAAAUAAAUUGUGGUAUAUUUUUACAAUGACAGAGUAUACAGUAGUAAAAACAGUGAGGUGGAGCCCUAAGUGCUAACUUGGAAAAAGCUUCAGGAAAUAUCACUGAGUGAAAAAGGAGAUUGCAGAAUGAUAAAUGUAAUGUGAUGCAUUUUAUCAGGGCUAUUUAGGAAAAUUAUGGCCUAAUAGAAAUGACCUGGGCUGAGUGAGAGGAGCAGAAAUGGGGAGAGUGAUUAUUGCCCCUCGCUUGCUUUGCCUCCUUUAGCCAUUUCUUCCUGUUCUCUCAAUCAUUCUUUCCCCUCUUUCACUCCACAUUCUUUCCUUUCUUCAUCACUUCUUUUCAUAGUUAAAAUUGAAGCCAAGUCUACCCUCUAGGAAUUGUAUGUGUUUGUGCUCAUUAACAACCAGUUGAACUCUGUUGAUUAGCAAUAUGGUCAAUCCAAACUGGUUGUUAAAGUGUCAAAAUAAAUGGAUCCAAUACCUGCACCCGGGCUCACAUGAUCUCGUUGAUGAAUAAUUAAUAUAGCCUCAAUAUGAUGCAUUAUAUGGAAACCUGCCUGCUUUGGCUACUGUGAAAGCUUAAAAAUAAACCAACCACUUGACAAAGUUACAAAAAAAUAUAUAAAAAAGAAAUUUGCAGUAUGGGUUGAAUGAAUAAUAAAUAUAUAGUGUUUGCAUUAAAGAAAGUACCAGUGGCAUUGUACUUUGUGUUAUUAUUAGAGUGUGUAGAUUAUUUGAUUUGAAGAAUUCUAGUUUAAUGACUUCCUUUUGCACUGAAGGAAAUAGUGGCCCAGGGAAGUAAGGUCGUAAAGCAGGCCUGUUCAGUGGUCUUCCGGUAACACACUUUGUAGGUAAUAGAGAUGGUCAUUCUCCUUUCCUUUCGGAAUAGUUCCAUCUCUCUCUGCUAUGGUAGGAACCAAAUGUGUGGAUCCUCUUUUACUCAUAGGUCUGUAUCUGGGGCACAAGCCUUAUGGCGUGGAUAGAAAUGGCUGACACAGUGCUGAAUUGGCUUAGGAAAAGGAAGACCGAUGCUGGGUUUCUCUGGAGCUCUGUGUCAUAGUUUGAAGAUGACUCCAAUGCCAGAGCCUCUGGGAACAAAAUAAUAUGAGAAAUGAUCACAGAAGCGGUCAUUUUAAGCUAGAAGAAACUCAGAAGAAGGGUUACCAGAUUCUUACAAAGCAUCUAAUUAAACAUGAAUUUUAGAUAAACAAUGAAUACUUUUAAAGUAUAAUUAUACCCCAGAUAUUGCAUGGAACAAACUUAUACUAAAAAUUAUUCAUUUCUUAUCUAAAUUCAAAUUAAUUGGGUCUCAAGUGUUUUUAUUUGUUAAGUCUGUCUAGCCCAACAAGAUCUAUGUUGAAAUAUGUAACUCAAAAUGUCUUAUAACCUGAAGAACACACUAUUCUCUAUGUUUCUUUGUCUCUUUGACCCCAACGUUUUAAAUUAUGACCAAUACUUUAAACUCCAAAGGUAUUGGAUAUUAGAUCAAUUCAAGGACAAAUUUUGUAAAAACUGGAGUGUUCUGCAGCAGAACAGAUUGCCUCAAAAAUAGUGAAUUCCUCUGCCAAGGAUACGCCUGUAUCAACAUUUGUAAUGACAAAAAACUGGGAGAAACAUAAAAGGUCAUGAAUAAGCGACUGUUUAAAAAAAAUUAGGGACACGUCUACGCAAUGGAAUUCUCUACAGAUUUUUUUUCUAGCCUCAGCUGCUGUUAUAAUAGGACUGUCACCACUGUCAUAACCUGACCAAUCAACUAGUUUCCCAACAGACAAGCUGGUCUUUCUGAAACCUUAGAAGCAUUCAUCAUGCACUUCAGAAUGGUUUUCUGUCUGUACAUAAUGGGGAUUUCCAAGCAGAUCUUUAAGUAAAAAAAGCAUAACAAGCAGUAUGCAUGUUGACAUAGUUUGGGUGUUUGUUGAAAUGUGAUCCUUAACAUUGCAGGUGGGGCCUGGUGGAAGGUGAUAGGGACAUGCGGGUGAAUCCUUCAUGAAUGGCUUGGUGCCAUCCUUGUUCCCCUCUCUCUUGCUCCUGCUCUGGCCAUGUGACGCAUCUGUUCCCCCUUCUCUUCCGCUGUGACUAAAAGCUUCUUGAGGCUCUCACCAGAAGCAGACGCUGAUGCCAUGCUUCUUAUACAGCCUGCAGAACCAUCAGC